AUUGAACGCUGGCGGCAGGCUUAACACAUGCAAGUCGAGCGGGGGAAGGUAGCUUGCUACCGGACCUAGCGGCGGACGGGUGAGUAAUGCUUAGGAAUCUGCCUAUUAGUGGGGGACAACAUCUCGAAAGGGAUGCUAAUACCGCAUACGUCCGACGGGGGAAAGCAGGGGAUCUUCGGACCUUGCGCUUAUAGAUGAGCCUAAGUCGGAUUAGCUAGUUGGUGGGGUAAAGGCCUACCAAGGCGACGAUCUGUAGGGGGUCUGAGAGGAUGAUCCGCCACACUGGGACUGAGACACGGCCCAGACUCCUACGGGAGGCAGCAGUGGGGAAUAUUGGACAAUGGGGGGAACCCUGAUCCAGCCAUGCCGCGUGUGUGAAGAAGGCCUUAUGGUUGUAAAGCACUUUAAGCGAGGAGGAGGCUACUCUAGUUAAUACCUAGGGAUAGUGGACGUUACUCGCAGAAUAAGCACCGGCUAACUCUGUGCCAGCAGCCGCCGUAA
RNAcentral lists this ribosomal RNA (501 nucleotides) under uncultured bacterium. RNAcentral's name for it is "partial 16S ribosomal RNA". It matches the Rfam family "Bacterial small subunit ribosomal RNA", at positions 30 to 523 of the family's 1533-position model. The record is from RNAcentral.